CGGACGGGUGAGUAACGCGUGGGUAACCUGCCGUAUGCAGGGGGAUAACACUUAGAAAUAGGUGCUAACACCGCAUAAGCGCACGAGAGCGCAUGCUUUUGUGUGAAAAACUCCGGUGGCAUACGAUGGACCCGCGUCUGAUUAGCCAGUUGGCAGGGUAACGGCCUACCAAAGCGACGAUCAGUAGCCGGCCUGAGAGGGCGGACGGCCACAUUGGGACUGAGACACGGCCCAAACUCCUACGGGAGGCAGCAG
Molecule: ribosomal RNA, 255 nt
Filed under: uncultured bacterium
Lineage: Bacteria
Description: partial 16S ribosomal RNA
Rfam family: Bacterial small subunit ribosomal RNA
Source: RNAcentral